UCACAAAAGACACUAAAUCUUUCACUUGGAACUUCUCUUGGGAUUAGGAGCAGCCCUCUAGAAUUUUUUAUAGUCCUCUAGCCUAGAAAAUGCCACCAAGGAGACGAGGACAAGGCAAGGGACCCAUGAUAGGAAGAGGACCACCACGACCUCAACUGUCAUUCCCACCAAACUAGUGGUUCGUUCUAUGCUUUGAAUUACUUGAAUUCUCCUCGUACCAAUCAAUACCAACAAGAUGAGGAUUCCGACCAUGAGAUGCCUAACUCGGGAGCAGAACAACAUCCCAUAGAGUUAUCUAGUGAUACCACCUCAUACCACGGCUCACCCUAUCAUGGUCCAGAUGAAUGGAACAUGUAUUUUAACAAGAUGAUGCCCUAGUGUUACCCCACCAAAUGGUGGAACAACAACAAAGAAGACACCGUACUAAGCCUAGGAUGUCGGUAUGACCAGGAGUACCUCUUGGCACUUCCCCUAUACCCCAUCUAUUGGUCAACUUGGACGUAUGCAAGAAUACCCUCAGAUGUGUGGACCUUCUUACUCCACCCCGGCCGAUGAUUCAGUACCCCCAGGGUUUUGAAAACCCUAUACCAACGUACCCGACCUCAUCUGGGUACGAAAACCCUUUUGCAUUAGCCCCGACGGAGUAUACAUCUCCACGGUAUGACCCUUUUGUUCAUGCAGUUGUACAAAACUCCAACAAAGCUUUGUUGGAUAUGCUUUUAAGGGUGUGUUUGGUUAGCAAAAUUUAAUACAGAUGGAAUCUGAAUUUAAGUUCCAAACG
Helianthus annuus (common sunflower) is the source of this 781-nucleotide long non-coding RNA. RefSeq lists it as uncharacterized. The record is from RefSeq and is a predicted model, not a curated record. The transcript is spliced from 3 exons. NCBI's taxonomy places the organism in Eukaryota, Viridiplantae, Streptophyta, Magnoliopsida, Asterales, Asteraceae.